This 496-nucleotide ribosomal RNA is filed under the name uncultured bacterium. RNAcentral's name for it is "partial 16S ribosomal RNA". It matches the Rfam family "Bacterial small subunit ribosomal RNA", at positions 28 to 506 of the family's 1533-position model. The record is from RNAcentral.
GAUGAACGCUGGCGGCGUGCCUAAUACAUGCAAGUCGAGCGAACAGACGAGGAGCUUGCUCCUCUGACGUUAGCGGCGGACGGGUGAGUAACACGUGGAUAACCUACCUAUAAGACUGGGAUAACUUCGGGAAACCGGAGCUAAUACCGGAUAAUAUAUUGAACCGCAUGGUUCAAUAGUGAAAGACGGUUUUGCUGUCACUUAUAGAUGGAUCCGCGCCGCAUUAGCUAGUUGGUAAGGUAACGGCUUACCAAGGCGACGAUGCGUAGCCGACCUGGGAGGUGGAUCCGCCCACAGGGAGGGGAGCAGCGCCCCGACCCCCUAGGGGAGGCAGAAGUGGGGAAUCUUCGCAAAAGGGCAAAAGCCUGCAGGAGAAACGCCGCGUGGGUGAAGAAGGUCUUCGGAUCGUAAAACUUUUUUAUUGGGGAAAAACAAAUGUAGAAGUAAAUAGGCCAGUUUGACGGGAACCUAAUAAAAAAGCCCCGGUAAACUACUG